AUGAAGGGUUGGGGGGCCAAUUUGGGCCGCGAUGCCAGCGAGCGUAAGAAGGCGCUGCUGACCACGAUUCAGGCUCUCGACCUUCGGGCUGACGCGGUUGGUCUCUCUCCGGACGAGUGGCUUUCCCGAUAUGACCUCGAAGACCAACUUUCCGUGAUCUACACCGAUGAGGCAGCCUAUUGGCGCAUUCGGGGCGCGCAGAGAUGGGUCCUGAAGGGAGACGCAAAUACAGCAUACUUCCAGGCUAUCGCCAAUGGCUGCCGUAGACGCAACACCAUCCCCCUUCUCUGGGAUGGGGAGACUCUCCUUCAGGACCCUCGCGACAUCCGGGCCCAUGUCGAUGGCUUCUAUAGGUCCCUCUUUUCUGCCGCUCCUAGGAGCGGCAUCUCUCUUGCCCCCGAUUGUUGGGCUGGUUCCCAGCUGGUGUCCAAUUUGGAGAACGAGGCCCUGUCGGCCCCCUUCUCUGAGCAGGACGUUUGGGAGGCCAUCAAGGGCAUGAAUGCUUCCUCGGCGCCGGGACCGGAUGGCCUCCCGGUCAUAUUUUUCUAGACCUUCUGGAAUGUGAUUAAACCUGAGGUCAUGGCCAUCUUCGAUGAAUUCUAUGUUGGCUCAAUUGACCUGGGUCGCCUCAACUACGGGAUCAUCUCUCUCAUCCCCAAGGUCCCUGGGGCAUCCGACAUCCGCCAAUUCCGCCCGAUCAUGGUGAUUAAUGUGAUCUUCCGGAUCCUGGCCAAAGGGUACGCCAUAGGGUGA
RNAcentral lists this ribosomal RNA (753 nucleotides) under Triticum aestivum (bread wheat). RNAcentral's name for it is "partial small subunit ribosomal RNA". The record is from RNAcentral. Lineage: Eukaryota; Viridiplantae; Streptophyta; Magnoliopsida; Poales; Poaceae.